This 450-nucleotide ribosomal RNA is filed under the name uncultured Leptolinea sp. RNAcentral's name for it is "bacterial SSU rRNA". It matches the Rfam family "Bacterial small subunit ribosomal RNA", at positions 919 to 1382 of the family's 1533-position model. Lineage: Bacteria; Bacillati; Chloroflexota; Anaerolineae; Anaerolineales; Anaerolineaceae. The record is from RNAcentral.
CCCCGCACAAGCAGCGGAGCGUGUGGUUUAAUUCGAUGCUACACGAAGAACCUUACCAGGGUUUGACAUACAAGUGGUAGAGAAGCGAAAGCGGACCGACCCUUCGGGGAGCUUGCACAGGUGCUGCAUGGCUGUCGUCAGCUCGUGUCGUGAGAUGUUCGGUUAAGUCCGCUAACGAGCGCAACCCUCGCUGUGUGUUAUAUGUGUCACACGGGACUGCCGGUCUUAAGCCGGAGGAAGGUGGGGAUGAUGUCAAGUCAGCAUGGCCUUUAUAUCCUGGGCUACACACACGCUACAAUGGCCAGCACAGUAGGUUGCUAAGCCGCGAGGUGGAGCCAAUCCAUAAAGCUGGUCUCAGUUCAGAUUGCAGGCUGCAACCCGCCUGCAUGAAGAUGGAGUUGCUAGUAACCGCAGGUCAGCUAUACUGCGGUGAAUACGUUCCCGGGGCUU